This 1374-nucleotide ribosomal RNA is filed under the name uncultured bacterium. RNAcentral's name for it is "bacterial SSU rRNA". It matches the Rfam family "Bacterial small subunit ribosomal RNA", at positions 28 to 1381 of the family's 1533-position model. The record is from RNAcentral.
GAUGAACGCUGGCGGCGUGCCUAAUACAUGCAAGUCGAGCGAACGGACGAGAAGCUUGCUUCUCUGAUGUUAGCGGCGGACGGGUGAGUAACACGUGGAUAACCUACCUAUAAGACUGGGAUAACUUCGGGAAACCGGAGCUAAUACCGGAUGAUAUUUUGAACCGCAUGGUUCAAAAGUGAAAGACGGUCUUGCUGUCACUUAUAGAUGGAUCCGCGCUGCAUUAGCUAGUUGGUAAGGUAACGGCUUACCAAGGCAACGAUGCAUAGCCGACCUGAGAGGGUGAUCGGCCACACUGGAACUGAGACACGGUCCAGACUCCUACGGGAGGCAGCAGUAGGGAAUCUUCCGCAAUGGGCGAAAGCCUGACGGAGCAACGCCGCGUGAGUGAUGAAGGUCUUCGGAUCGUAAAACUCUGUUAUUAGGGAAGAACAUAUGUGUAAGUAACUGUGCACAUCUUGACGGUACCUAGUCAGAAAGCCACGGCUAACUACGUGCCAGCAGCCGCGGUAAUACGUAGGUGGCAAGCGUUAUCCGGAAUUAUUGGGCGUAAAGCGCGCGUAGGCGGUUUUUUAAGUCUGAUGUGAAAGCCCACGGCUCAACCGUGGAGGGUCAUUGGAAACUGGAAAACUUGAGUGCAGAAGAGGAAAGUGGAAUUCCAUGUGUAGCGGUGAAAUGCGCAGAGAUAUGGAGGAACACCAGUGGCGAAGGCGACUUUCUGGUCUGUAACUGACGCUGAUGUGCGAAAGCGUGGGGAUCAAACAGGAUUAGAUACCCUGGUAGUCCACGCCGUAAACGAUGAGUGCUAAGUGUUAGGGGGUUUCCGCCCCUUAGUGCUGCAGCUAACGCAUUAAGCACUCCGCCUGGGGAGUACGACCGCAAGGUUGAAACUCAAAGGAAUUGACGGGGACCCGCACAAGCGGUGGAGCAUGUGGUUUAAUUCGAAGCAACGCGAAGAACCUUACCAAAUCUUGACAUCCUUUGACAACUCUAGAGAUAGAGCCUUCCCCUUCGGGGGGGACAAAGUGACAGGUGGUGCAUGGUUGUCGUCAGCUCGUGUCGUGAGAUGUUGGGUUAAGUCCCGCAACGAGCGCAACCCUUAAGCUUAGUUGCCAUCAUUAAGUUGGGCACUCUAAGUUGACUGCCGGUGACAAACCGGAGGAAGGUGGGGAUGACGUCAAAUCAUCAUGCCCCUUAUGAUUUGGGCUACACACGUGCUACAAUGGACAAUACAAAGGGCAGCGAAACCGCGAGGUCAAGCAAAUCCCAUAAAGUUGUUCUCAGUUCGGAUUGUAGUCUGCAACUCGACUACAUGAAGCUGGAAUCGCUAGUAAUCGUAGAUCAGCAUGCUACGGUGAAUACGUUCCCGGGUCU